CUACGGGGGGCACCAGUGGGGAAUAUUGCACAAUGGAGGAAACUCUGAUGCAGCAACGCCGCGUGGAGGAUGACACUUUUCGGAGCGUAAACUCCUUUUAUAUAGGAAGAAGAUGACGGUACUAUAUGAAUAAGCGCCGGCUAACUCCGUGCCAGCAGCACGCGGUAAUACGGAGGGCGCAAGCGUUACUCGGAAUCACUGGGCGUAAAGAGCGUGUAGGCGGAUUAAAAAGUCAGAAGUGAAAUCCUAUAGCUUAACUAUAGAACUGCUUCUGAAACUCUUAAUCUAGAAUAUGGGAGAGGUAGAUGGAAUUUCUGGUGUAGGGGUAAAAUCCGUAGAGAUCAGAAGGAAUACCGAUUGCGAAGGCGAUCUACUAGAACAUUAUUGACGCUGAGACGCGAAAGCGUGGGGAGCAAACAGGAUUAGAUACCCUCGUAGUC
Molecule: ribosomal RNA, 440 nt
Filed under: uncultured bacterium
Lineage: Bacteria
Description: partial 16S ribosomal RNA
Rfam family: Bacterial small subunit ribosomal RNA
Source: RNAcentral